RNAcentral lists this ribosomal RNA (250 nucleotides) under uncultured bacterium. Its description in RNAcentral is "partial 16S ribosomal RNA". It matches the Rfam family "Bacterial small subunit ribosomal RNA", at positions 524 to 773 of the family's 1533-position model. The record is from RNAcentral.
UACAGAGGGUGCGAGCGUUAAUCGGAAUUACUGGGCGUAAAGCGUGCGUAGACGGUUAUUUAAGUCGGGUGUGAAAGCCCCGGGCUCAACCUGGGAAUUGCAUUCGAGACUGAAUAGCUAGGGUACGGUAGAGGGAAGUGGAAUUUCCGGUGUAGCGGUGAAAUGCGUAGAUAUCGGAAGGAACAUCAGUGGCGAAAGCGACUUCCUGGACCAGUACCGACGUUCAGGCACGAAAGCGUGGGGAGCAAAC